This 486-nucleotide ribosomal RNA is filed under the name uncultured bacterium. Its description in RNAcentral is "partial 16S ribosomal RNA". It matches the Rfam family "Bacterial small subunit ribosomal RNA", at positions 30 to 507 of the family's 1533-position model. The record is from RNAcentral.
AUUGAACGCUGGCGCCAUGCCUUACACAUGCAAGUCGAACGGCAGCACGGGUGCUUGCCCCUGGUGGCGAGUGGCGAACGGGUGAGUAAUACAUCGGAACAUGUCCUGUAGUGGGGGAUAGCCCGGCGAAAGCCGGAUUAAUACCGCAUACGAUCUACGGAUGAAAGCGGGGGACCUUCGGGCCUCGCGCUAUAGGGUUGGCCGAUGGCUGAUUAGCUAGUUGGUGGGGUAAAGGCCUACCAAGGCGACGAUCAGUAGCUGGUCUGAGAGGACGACCAGUCACACUGGGACUGAGACACGGCCCAGACUCCUACGGGAGGCAGCAGUGGGGAAUUUUGGACAAUGGGCGAAAGCCUGAUCCAGCAAUGCCGCGUGUGUGAAGAAGGCCUUCGGGUUGUAAAGCACUUUUGUCCGGAAAGAAAUCCUUGGCCCUAAUACGGUCGGGGGAUGACGGUACCGGAAGAAUAAGCACCGGCUAACUACGUG